RNAcentral lists this transfer RNA (83 nucleotides) under Escherichia coli. Its description in RNAcentral is "tRNA-Met". It matches the Rfam family "tRNA". From Rfam's summary of the family: Transfer RNA (tRNA) molecules are approximately 80 nucleotides in length. Their secondary structure includes four short double-helical elements and three loops (D, anti-codon, and T loops). The record is from RNAcentral. Lineage: Bacteria; Pseudomonadati; Pseudomonadota; Gammaproteobacteria; Enterobacterales; Enterobacteriaceae.
CGCGGGGUGGAGCAGCCUGGUAGCUCGUCGGGCUCAUAACCCGAAGGUGAAGGUCGUCGGUUCAAAUCCGGCCCCCGCAACCA